RNAcentral lists this ribosomal RNA (384 nucleotides) under Fasciola hepatica (liver fluke). Its description in RNAcentral is "eukaryotic LSU rRNA". Lineage: Eukaryota; Metazoa; Platyhelminthes; Trematoda; Plagiorchiida; Fasciolidae. The record is from RNAcentral.
GUCGUGGCUUGGGUUUUGCCAGCUGGCGUGUAUCUCCUCUAUGAGUAAUCAUGUGAGGUGCCAGAUCUAUGGCGUUUCCCUAAUGUAUCCGGAUGCACCCUUGUCUUGGCAGAAAGCCGUGGUGAGGUGCAGUGGCGGAAUCGUGGUUUAAUAAUCGGGUUGGUACUCAGUUGUCAGUGUGUUUGGCGAUCCCCUAGUCGGCACACUUAUGAUUUCUGGGAUAAUUCCAUACCAGGCACGUUCCGUCACUGUCACUUUGUCAUUGGUUUGAUGCUGAACUUGGUCAUGUGUCUGAUGCUAUUUUCAUAUAGCGACGGUACCCUUCGUGGUCUGUCUUCCUGACCUCGGUUCAGACGUGAUUACCCGCUGAACUUAAGCAUAUCA